Brachypodium distachyon (stiff brome) is the source of this 137-nucleotide non-coding RNA. NCBI's taxonomy places the organism in Eukaryota, Viridiplantae, Streptophyta, Magnoliopsida, Poales, Poaceae. The record is from Rfam.
AAUAUACUUCCUCCGUCCAACAAAGGAUGUCUCAAUUUUGACCAAAUUUGAAUGCAUCUAUACACUUAAGUCAUGUCUAGAUACAUCCAAUUUUUGACAAACUUGAGACAUCCUUUGUUAGACGGAGGGAGUAUAUU